This 550-nucleotide ribosomal RNA is filed under the name uncultured bacterium. RNAcentral's name for it is "bacterial SSU rRNA". It matches the Rfam family "Bacterial small subunit ribosomal RNA", at positions 355 to 896 of the family's 1533-position model. The record is from RNAcentral.
UGGGGAAUCUUCCGCAAUGGACGAAAGUCUGACGGAGCAACGCCGCGUGAACGAAGAAGGUCUUCGGAUUGUAAAGUUCUGUGAUUCGGGACGAAAGGGUAAAUAGUGAAUAACUAUAGACAUUGACGGUACCGAAAAAGCAAGCCACGGCUAACUACGUGCCAGCAGCCGCGGUAAUACGUAGGUGGCAAGCGUUGUCCGGAAUUAUUGGGCGUAAAGCGCGCGCAGGCGGUUUCUUAAGUCCAUCUUAAAAGCGUGGGGCUCAACCCCAUGAGGGGAUGGAAACUGGGAAGCUGGAGUAUCGGAGAGGAAAGUGGAAUUCCUAGUGUAGCGGUGAAAUGCGUAGAGAUUAGGAAGAACACCGGUGGCGAAGGCGACUUUCUAGACGAAAACUGACGCUGAGGCGCGAAAGCGUGGGGAGCAAACAGGAUUAGAUACCCUGGUAGUCCACGCCGUAAACGAUGGAUACUAGGUGUAGGGGGUAUCGACCCCUCCUGUGCCGGAGUUAACGCAAUAAGUAUCCCGCCUGGGAAGUACGAUCGCAGGAUUA